This 1422-nucleotide long non-coding RNA is filed under the name Helianthus annuus (common sunflower). RNAcentral describes it as "hypothetical non coding rna". Lineage: Eukaryota; Viridiplantae; Streptophyta; Magnoliopsida; Asterales; Asteraceae. The record is from RNAcentral.
GUGUCUCUAAAACUAAAUCCAUGGUGCUUACUAGGCGUAUUAAAACUAUGAUGGAUGGAUCUUCCUUUCUAGUCGCAAUAUGUUGGACAGUCCGCUGAUUCUAAAUGAGCUGAUUUCUUGGGUUCGAAAGGAAAGACGUUUAUUCUCAAGGUUGAUAUUGAAAAAGCGUAUGAUAAUAUCAGCUUGGAGUAUAUUGAUUUAGUUCUCUCUCAGAUGGGUUUUCCAGGUUUAUGGCGUACAUGGGUGAGGAGUAUUUGUGUAACGCCCAAAUUUUUGAAAGACUUUUAAUUUAAAUUAAAUGCGGAAACUAGGUCCCAAAUUUUUUUAUAUCAUUGUAUAAACUUAUUUUCAUGAGUAUACGUCAUCAACAUUAUCUUUUAUAAAAAAUAUAAUCUAAUAACCUUACGUUCGUUAAUCAAUUACUACACAAAAUGACAUCUCAUCUCCAUGAUGUGAUAUUCGUAGUCCGUCCCAAGCACUUAAUCUUCAAAUCCAAAGCCUUCAACGAUACUUAUCCACAGCAUUACCUAAGGUAUUACAAAACCUUAAGUUAGUUGUAUAACAUCUAGGAAACAUGGCAAAAGGUUUGCAUCAAAAUAAGUUUUAACACGACAAAAAUGGAUAGGAGAAGACAAAUACGGCGUAGGCUACACCAGCCAUGGCAUAACCUACACCCACAUGCACUUUGGCGUAAACCACAACAUAUCACAUAAGGGUAUUUGGCGUAAGCUUCCACAACAUGCAUAGUCUAUCUUGGGAGGGACAUAGGCAACCACCUUCAGCAUCAAUUUACCAUCAUUAAACUCAUUCGAUUUGUUUCGAUCCAUGCAACCUGCUAACAUAUCUAAAUUUGAUCCUUGACAUAAUAAAGAUCAUUAGUAAAUGUACCCAAUCUAUUUGCCAUAAACCAAAUCCCUGAGAUCACACAUUUCAUUUAUAAAAUCAUAACGGGUCAAAAUUUCAAUAUUCACCGUGUUGUAACAUUUUAAUCAAGUCCCAUUUACUUAUUAGAUUUCGUUCUCAUCUAAGUAUCAUAUUAUUAACGUAAAUCACAAACUAAAACUAUAAAGGCUACUUAUUCACCCUCUUGACCUGUUACCAUUUGGUUAGUGAUGUAUAAACUUUUGACCCGUUACAACGUUUUUUAAACAUAAUGUUGUCAACGACUAUUUUAUGAAGAAAACACCAUCAAAACCACAUCAAAGAAUUUCAGCAAAAUCUACAAAAAUUACAUAAAAUCAUUUAUAAUGUUAUCCAACUUCUCAACAAAAAUCAUGCCAAAACAAGAUGGUUAAGGCCCCGAAAUAACCUCUGCAAGUAGGCUGACCUGGUUGUUGUCAACCUAUAUUUUGUCGACAAAACACCCACAAAACCACAUCAAACAUUUUCAGAAAAAUCUACAAAAAUUACAUAAAAUCAUUU